Molecule: long non-coding RNA, 14398 nt
Filed under: Lactuca sativa (garden lettuce)
Lineage: Eukaryota; Viridiplantae; Streptophyta; Magnoliopsida; Asterales; Asteraceae
Description: long non-coding RNA (LSAT_LNC006991)
Source: RNAcentral
AAUUAAUUACACUUGAUCACAAAAUUAAUUCUUAAUUAAUUAUUGACCAAUAUUAAUUAAACAAAUAUGAUUUCUCCUUUAAUAUAUUAUUCUUAUAACAUAUUAAUAAAUCAUAAUAACCUCUCUCUCUAUUUAUUUCUCCAAUCAAGUUGCUUUGGUGAAGGCAACCCAAAAGGACCAUGCACCAUCGGGUCAAGUACAUACCAAAAUAGUUAUGGACUUAGACACUAAUCCAACAGUCUCCCACUUGGAUAAGUCUAACAACUAUUCUGCGUAUGACUUCGGAUCCCGAUCUGCAAUCGUAGCUUUCCAAAGCCGCUGUCAACUCUGAUCAUAUCAGAUACGCGUGUCCUUAGAUAAGGGAUCAUAUAUUCCUCCAUUCUAGAUAUCAUAUGAGAUAUGAUUUCAAAUCAUUCUCUUUGUACUAUAUCUCGAUUUCCGAUUUAUGACGACUGACUAAUUGAACAAAUCAAAUUAGCCCUAGCCCGGCCGAGCAUUUACGUUUGUCAUCACUAAACCAUCGAGGGGCCCAAAGAUAUCGCUUUUAUCCUACUUUGGAUAAAAGGAACGGAUAAACUUUGAUACAAUGCUUGCUUGCACUCACUCACCGAAUCACACACAACAAUAUGUUUUAUAACACCAAGUUACUAGUGCGUUUACAUAUUAUCAAUGUGCAACCGAUUUGCAAGAUACAACUCACACAUCUCGGUUUCAAGAAUAUAAGAUGUUAUCGUCUCACCAAUCACUCGUGAUACAAUUCAUGGAGUGAUCCAAGUGAGCGUGGGUUUAAUCCAAUGCUCAAAUCACAUUCAUAAGCACUCAUGAACGUUGCAGCAAACAUUUGCUUAUGUCUAAUACUCUUUUAGACAAUCCACACACCAAUUCACGACAGUCUUCAUUCAUAUCUACUUCCAACAUAUGAACGACUGUGGCCCGUUUGAAUAAUUCGAUUAUUCUUAAUAAACUCAAUUAUUCUGGAAGUCAAAACAUGCAAAUGUGAAACACAAGAAUAAUACUAAUCCCAUAUGGCCUCAAACCUUUGAGUAUAAAUAAAACACCUUUUAUUUAUCACCAUAUUGAUUACUCAUUAUUUGUCGUUUCGGGUAAUCAACUUCUUACUUGAAUUCCAACACUUGUCCCAUGCUCCUAGCAUGCACACAAUGUUUACCUAUGGUUCUUACUUUGUGAAAUAGAUCACAUUGAACACAUUUCCAAUCCUUCUCAUUUCACAACUCCAAAUCCGUUUUUCAUAAGUCAAAGAAUAUCAAAUUCUUGCUACUUAUAGAAUAUGCUAGAUUCUAACAUUCUAUGCAACUAUCCUUUCGUAAUGUCACUGCACCAAAGUCACAAAGACUAUUGCCAAUGAUAUUACAAAGUCCUCUAUCGGAGAUUGUUACAAGACAAUUCCAUAGACGUGAUGUCUCUCACUCAAAGUACAUUCUUUGAACAUCCUUUUGCAUAGAAGUUUCUAAUCUAGUCAUAGAUUUCUCAAUAUUCAAUUCCCAAUAUGGACACACUUCCAUAUGUUCCAUAUGACAACUCAUUCUUAAUAGAAUCUUAUCUAUUCGUAAUGAUGUCGAUAUGGUCCAUCCAAUAUGGAAACAUUUCCAUAUUUUCCAAUACUAUACUUCCAACUACUCACAAGCGACCAAUCCUCGUCGAACUUUGGAUUGUCCUUUGAUAGUUGUUUAAUUAUUUUAGUCAAAACCAAUUCUAGUCCCUUUUCCCUCUAAAUGCGCUAGACAUUUGGAAAAUUUUAGAAUGGUCAAACAUUAAAGCAUUUGCAAUCGAUCCUAUACCCGAAGCGUAUGGGACACGACGCAUAAUGUUUUAUUUGCUAUGUUCUCAAAAUUCGAAUUGUGAAGAGGAAUGCCGUAAUCAUAAUCGAAAUUUUAAGAACACACUAUGUACCCUUGACUAAAUUUAUUAACAUUUCUCAACCUAAUCCUUUAGAUUUGAAAUGAAGCAUAAUAUUCUCUCCCUUAAUUAUAGCAAAACAACUUUACAACCCUUACGACUUUGCAAGGUAUAACUCUUGUUUUCUAUAAUUAAUAUUGCCAACUUGCAAUACGUGCCUUAAUAAUCAUACAAUCAUAACAUUUAUGCUCCCACUAUCAUGAUGAUUAUUAUAAAACAUAACACUUAUGCUCCCACUAGCUUCGACAUGUAUUCAUAAACAUCUUAACUUUCAGAAAAACAAUACUUAUUGAAUUUCUUAAGUUCAUGUUUCUAAUACUUAGUGCUUUGAUAAUCUUUUAUCAAGGCUUCUUGAACUUAUACACCUUUGCCUUCGAUAGUUCAUAUGUGUGUCUAAACAAUUAAGACUAAUUGCCAAACCUCACAAUUCAAAUUAUGGAAAGGGAUACCGUAACCAUAAUCGAAUUCGAGAAUGCAAUUUUACAAUCACUAUCUUCUUAAAAUCUUUCUUAGUGAAAGCAUUUCCUCACAAUCAUUUUCAUGAAGGAGGAAAUCUUAUGACACUUAGAUUUAAACGGUGUAUGUGUUCCUAUCCAUGUGAAUUUGUUAAAACCAAAGUUUACGACAAAUUCAAACUCAUAUGGACCGAACUUUCUUAAUCUUGAUUUCUUGCCUUAUGGUAGCACAGCUGCCCACCAUGUCUUCCAAGUAGUUAAGCAGCUCACCCUUUCCUAUCAAUGUACCUUUCAUUGAUUAAGGUGCUUUGCCUUUUAUGCGUUCAAAAUGAGAACUCAUAGAACUCACAUGCAUAAUUAACUCGAUUGGAUUGGCACAGAAACAAAAUAAUGUCAACACGAUAGGUUGUAAACCUCAACUCGUGUGCUAGUGAUGAUCGAUAAGGUUUAUUUGAUUUGUUCUUGAAACCUUUCAAGACCAUUAAGACUCCCACUGACUCCUUGACAUAUAAGAUUCUCUUGUCAAUAAACAUUUCUUGACAAACAAAUAUUCAAGAGUUAGUGUAGCUUUUAUCAAAACACUUCAUAAAUUGGUCCUAGUUGGUCUUUGUCUUAUCCAAGACAUCACAACUUUCCACAUUUGAUGAAUGUUAUAAACCUUCUUAAUACUUAUCACUCAAUGUCACAAUCUUAACUCUAAGACUUGUUUUGGAACGAAGUAUGAUUGACUUCUUGAUUUAACCAUUUCUUCAAUUCUUGAUUCCUCUUCUUAGACAUACAAUUGUACUAAGACUCACUUAGAGGAUCAAUUGAGAUAUGGUUCUUAAUCAUUAAGACCUAUCAUAAAGCAUAAAAGGUACUCUCCCUUCUUCUUAGAAUGGAGAAACUUUUAUCUUUCUGCCUACUUGAUUCUUCUUAUUCGUUCUGCUAUUGAUUUAAACUUUUUCAAUCAAUUCAGAAUUACACUUAAUCUUAUAAGUAUAAUCAUAUUUACUAAACCUUUAGUAAAUCAUGACGAAUAUCUUUGUUACUCUUAUGGUGGACUUGAUCAACACGCAACUUUGUGUACUCGAUCUCCUAGUCCUUCACUUGACACUUUGUCAAUGAAUUAGUCUAAUUUCCAAAUAUGAAAUUUCUCAUUCAUCGUGCAACCAAGUUGCAUGAUUCCAAGUUUCUGUCCAAUUGAAACUUGGGCGAUGAGAAACUCUCCCUAUUUGGUAAAUUCUCGACUUUCCAUAAAUAACAUAAUAAGAACCAAAUCCAUUAUUGCUAAUAAUAGAAACAUUCAAACAUCAAUUUUUCAUAUACGCCAUUGCAAGGAUAAAUAAAUAAUAUAAAAUCAAAAUUUAUUUUAUUGCGGAAAAAUUUGUCCUUACAAUGCAAUUCAUUGAAAAACUAUGCUAAUACAUCUUUCUUAGCAAUCUAAUUCUAACUCUAAGUAGUAGCUCAAGAAUCUAAUCUUCGAGAAAUGCGAUCGAAAUCCAUUCCUUCACGGUUAGAUUCUGCUCACUUCUUCCCUUAAGCUUCCUUUCUUUUCUUCGAUCCUACAAAACAUCAAUUGUAAUCUUAUCACAUUAUGUAUUAAGAAUCUAGAAUAGAAGCUUAAAAGAGUUAGUUAAUGGAUUUUACCUAUAUUAGAGCCAUACGUUUCGACUCUCCCAUCUCUUAGAUCUCUUAGGUAAAUGGGGCAGCUUCGUCUCCAAUGCCCUUUCUCUUGGCAAUAAAAGCAAAUUGACUCUUUUGGAACAUGACAUGGAACUACUUCAGACAUUGCCUUUCUCUUAUGAUCAAACUUUUCGAUCAUAGCAUGUCUUUCGUUGCCAUUGUCUAUAUCCAUAGAGGUCUUGAAGGCAGAUUCACCAAUCAACUUUGCUUUUCUAUUGCGCCAAACCAUUGCUGAUUCAGCAGCAAUAAGCAUAUAGGUGAGAUCUAUAAGGGUCACGUCGCGGUUCAUCAUAUAGUACUCUCUUACGAACUCACUAUAUGAGUUAGGAAGUGACUGAAGAACCCAAUCAACAGCCAUUUCCUCACAGACAACGGAUCCCAACAUUCUUAACCUAUCAAUGUGUGACUUCAUCCCUAGGACGUGUGCACACACCGACUUUCCUUCUUUAUGUUUACUUGCCAAAAGGGCUUGAGUGAUCUUGAACUUUUCAAGCCUUUGAACUUGUGGGUUAGGGAGAAUAAUUGGAGGAGGAGGAGGAAGUGAAGCAUGAUUUCUUGUUCCUCGAUCGAAUCGUGGAAUAUCAUCUUCAUGUGGAAUGCUUGUUCCACGGGAUUUGGGAAGACCAUAGUUGUCGAACUUUGACAUCUACAAAACGGGAGAAAACGAAUUCAAGUUAGUUGAUUGAUUGAGUCCUUAGUAAAUCACCCAAAUGAGAUACUAAGGCUAGGACCCAACACAAUAUUCUACAACUCGGGAGAGGGAUGCCGUAACCCUAAUUGCAGAAUAUUUGAAGGUAAGUGAAUGACGAUUCACUAAUUUCCACCAUGAAAAACGAAAAAGAAAUUUAAGUUUUAAAUCUAUGAAAACUCCUAGAUCCUUUGAGAUUCAUUGAACUUUCAAUGGCAUGUUUAAAUCUCGAUAUGCCCCUCUUGUUUGUGACUGGGAUGCCGAGGAUCACAAAGCGGGUGUGAAUAACCAUGCAAACUUACAUGGUGCCCUCACAUGUUACAGUCACCUAUUCGAUGUGCCGGUAAACCACACACGCUCCACCGAACUAUGACAAACAUUGAGUCACCCUUUGCUACCUUUGCUUAGAACCAUUUAGUGUGCCGGUAAACCACACACGCUCCACUAACGUCUUCGCAAGGGCACAAAGUGUAAUUUCAUGGAAUUGCAUCAAUUCACUUUUGCCUAAGUAACUAAGAUUGGGAAUUUUAUGAAAACAUUUAGUUACUUUAAUAAUUCAUUAUACUUAUAAUGGAAGGUUUCGUCCUAUCCUACCCGUUCGGCUAACGACCCUCCACUAGUCAAGAGUGCGGUGGGUAAGAGUGGAUACCCAUUCAAUCGCCAUUUUAUAGGCAAUUUCCUUAAACACCCCUUAUAGACCAGCUUCGUGAAUGAGGCCUACUAACGGUAAGACUGACUUUUACUCAUACAUAUAUAUAAUGUUAGACUUUUAAUGUUAUAUAUAGUAUAGGGUGUAUUUUAUACUUUCAAAAUACUAGGUGGUCUAAUUUAACAAUUAUACUUUUAAUUCAAUUAAAUUGUAAACCUAAACUUUUAUGGAUUUAUUAAACCUCUUUUAAUUAUACACCUUAAUUAAUUAAUAAAACCAUAAGGGUGUGAUUUGAACUUUUUCAAAACAAUACUAGGGUUUUAGAAUUUAACAUUCCUAAUUAAACUUUUAAUCAACUUUUAAAUUCCAAAACUUGAGGGCAAGUUUUGAAACAUUUCAAAACAUUAGGGUUUAGAAUUUAAAUAUACAUCAAAAUUAAACUAUUAAUCAAAAUUUAAAUUCCAAAACUUGAGGGCAAGUUUUGAAACCUUUUUCAAAACAUUAGGGUUUCAACUAUUUAAAUUUCAAAACAACAAAACUUUUGGGUUCAAAUUUAAACUAUAAAACCUAAAGGGGAAAAUAUGAAACUUUUCAAAACACAAGGAUCAAAUAACAAAUAAUCUAAAUUAACAUUUAAUCACAUAAUUAUCCAUAUUUGAUUUAUUUAAUGAUUUCUUGCAAAACAAUUUACCAAUUUAAUCAAAAUAAUUAAUCAAUUAUCACAUAAGGAAACAAAUAUUUUAUUAAUUGAUAAAUAUCUUCAAUUAGAUCAAGAAUAUAGUCAUAUAUAUCAUAAAAUCGGAUUUAUAUUGAUCUAAUAUGAUAAAGGCAAGUAUCUCAAAGAUAAACAACAAGAAAUCCCGAAAAUAGCUCCAUCUGACGCUCGAACUCGCCGAGUACCACACUGUACUCGCCGAGUUGAGGCCUACUCGCCGAGUACACUGUGGUACUCGCCGAGUUCAUCAGGCAGGGAGGCCAAAAACGAUUUUUCAGCUUGAACAAACAUAUAAUGCAUCAAUACAAUAGAAACCAAUCAAGGCUCUGAUACCUCUGAUGGGUUUUGGUCAUAAGACAUCCUAUGUGCUCAUACAAACCCUAAUGCUUGGAUCUAGGUUUCUCUAUUGUACAUGCUUUGAAUCCAAGACUAUAAACCCUAAUUCUAGCAUAUGGAAAUCAAUAUUAACAUAUAAUUAGGUUUAAGAUAUUACCUUGAUUGUUAUGUAGCAAUAACAAUCCCAAUUCCUCCUUGAAUUGACUUUGGAAGGCUUAGAGUCACAAGUGUCACUCCUCUAAUGGUUCACAAACACCAUAAGCAAGAGGAUGAAGAGGAGAGAGGAUGGAGGCUGCCCAAAACGUGUUCUAACCCUAGAAGAGAAGUUCCCCACGUUUUUGAGCCUUAAGGGUUCUAUAUAUAGUGAGGCUAUUAGGGUUAUCUAACAAGGAAACCCUAAUUUGGAUGCUUAAGCCCUAAGCAACCCAUGGACUCCUUUAAUUAAGGCCUUGGACGAUUUCCUUAUGGGUUUCCCCAUAGAAUUCGUCCACUCCUUAAUAUAAGGCAAUCCAUGGCCCAAAUUGCAAUUAUCUUAUAAUUACAAUUCCAGUCCCUUAAGUUUAAUUAAUCUCUUUUAGUCACAAACUUAAUUCUUAUUAAUUCUUGACUAAUAUUAAUUAAACAAUAUGAUUUCUCCUUUAAUAUAUUAUUCUCAUAAUAUAUUAAUAAAUCAUAUUUAAUCCUUUCUCUCCAUAAUUCAUCCUAUCAAGUUGCUUUGGUGAAGGCAACCCAAAAGGACCAUGCACCAUCGGGUCAAGUACAUACCAAAAUAGUUAUGGACUUAGACACUAAUCCAACAGUCUCCCACUUGGAUAAGUCUAAUAACUAUUCUGCGUAUGACUUCAGAUCCUGAUCUGCAAUCGUAGCUUUCCAAAGCCGCUGUCAACUCUGAUCAUAUCAGAUACGCGUGUCCUUAGAUAAGGGAUCAUAUAUUCCUCCAUUCUAGAUAUCAUAUGAGAUAUGAUUUCAAAUCAUUCUCUUUGUACUAUAUCUCGAUUUCCGAUUUAUGACGACUGACUAAUUGAACAAAUCAAAUUAGCCCUAGCCCGGCCGAGCAUUUACGUUUGUCAUCACUAAAUCAUCGAGGGGCCCAAAGAUAUCGCUUUUAUCCUACUUUGGAUAAAAGGAACGGAUAAACUUUGAUACAAUGCUUGCUUGCACUCACUCACCGAAUCACACACAACAAUAUGUUUUAUAACACCAAGUUACUAGUGCGUUUACAUAUUAUCAAUGUGCAACCGAUUUGCAAGAUACAACUCACACAUCUCGGUUUCAAGAAUAUAAGAUGUUAUCGUCUCACCAAUCACUCGUGAUACAAUUCAUGGAGUGAUCCAAGUGAGCGUGGGUUUAAUCCAAUGCUCAAAUCAUAUUCAUAAGCACUCAUGAACGUUGCAGCAAACAUUUGCUUAUGUCUAAUACUCUUUUAGACAAUCCACACACCAAUUCACGACAGUCUUCAUUCAUAUCUACUUCCAACAUAUGAACGACUGUGGCCCGUUUGAAUAAUUCGAUUAUUCUUAAUAAACUCAAUUAUUCUGGAAGUCAAAACAUGCAAAUGUGAAACACAAGAAUAAUACUAAUCCCAUAUGGCCUCAAACCUUUGAGUAUAAAUAAAACACCUUUUAUUUAUCACCAUAUCGAUUACUCAUUAUUUGUCGUUUCGGGUAAUCAACUUCUUACUUGAAUUAUUACACUUGUCCCAUGCUCCUAGCAUGCACACAAUGUUUACCUAUGGUUCUUACUUUGUGAAAUAGAUCAAAUUGAACACAUUUCCAAUCAUUCUCAUUUCACAACUCCAAAUCCUUUUUCAUAAGUGAAAGAAUAUCAAAUUCUUGCUACUUAUAGAAUAUGCUAGAUUCUAACAUUCUAUGCAAUGAUCCUUUCGUAAUGUCACUGCACCAAAGUCACAAAGACUAUUGCCAAUGAUAUUACAAAGUCCUCUAUCGGAGAUUGUUACAAGACAAUUCCUUAGAUAUGAUGUCUCUCACUCAAAGUACAUUCCUUUGAACAUCCUUUUGCAUAAAAGUUUCUAAUCUAGACAUAGAUUUUCAAUAUUCAAUUCCCAAUAUGGACACGCUUCCAUAUUUUCCAUAUGACAACUCAUUCUUAAUAGAAUCUUAUCUAUUCGUAAUGAUGUCGAUAUGGUCCAUCCAAUAUGGAAACAUUUCCAUAAUUUCCAUAUGACAACUCAUUCUUAAUAGAAUCUUUUCUAUUCAUAAUAAUGUCGAUAUGGUCCAUCCAAUACCAUGCUUCCAACUACUCACAAGCGACCAAUCCUCGUCGAACUUUGGAUUGUCCUUUGAUAGUUGUUUAAUUAUUUUAGUCAAAACCAAUUCUAGUCCCUUUUCCCUCUAAAUGCGCUCGACAUUUGGAAAAUUUUAGAAUGGUCAAACAUUAAAGCAUUUGCAAUCGAUCCUAUACCCGAAGCGUAUGGGACACGACGCAUAAUGUUUUAUUUGCUAUGUUCUCAAAAUUCGAAUUGUGAAGAGGGAUGCCGUAAUCAUAAUCGAAAUUUUAAGAACACACUAUGUACCUUUGACUAAAUUUAUUAACAUUUCUCAACCUAAUCCUUUAGAUUUGAAAUGAAGCAUAAUAUUCUCUCCCUUAAUUAUAGCAAAACAACUUUACAACCCUUACGACUUUGCAAGGUAUAACUCUUGUUUUCUAUAAUUAAUAUUGCCAACUUGCAAUACGUGCCUUAAUAAUCAUACAAUCAUAACAUUUAUGCUCCCACUAUCAUGAUGAUUAUUAUAAAACAUAACACUUAUGCUCCCACUAGCUUCGACAUGUAUUCAUAAACAUCUUAACUUUCAGAAAAACAAUACUUAUUGAAUUUCUUAAGUUCAUGUUUCUAAUACUUAGUGCUUUGAUAAUCUUUUAUCAAGGCUUCUUGAACUUAUACACCUUUGCCUUCGAUAGUUCAUAUGUGUGUCUAAACAAUUAAGACUAAUUGCCAAACCUCACAAUUCAAAUUAUGGAAAGGGAUACCGUAACCAUAAUCGAAUUCGAGAAUGCAAUUUUACAAUCACUAUCUUCUUAAAAUCUUUCUUAGUGAAAGCAUUUCCUCACAAUCAUUUUCAUGAAGGAGGAAAUCUUAUGACACUUAGAUUUAAACGGUGUAUGUGUUCCUAUCCAUGUGAAUUUGUUAAAACCAAAGUUUACGACAAAUUCAAACUCAUAUGGACCGAACUUUCUUAAUCUUGAUUUCUUGCCUUAUGGUAGCACAGCUGCCCACCAUGUCUUCCAAGUAGUUAAGCAGCUCACCCUUUCCUAUCAAUGUACCUUUCAUUGAUUAAGGUGCUUUGCCUUUUAUGCGUUCAAAAUGAGAACUCAUAGAACUCACAUGCAUAAUUAACUCGAUUGGAUUGGCACAGAAACAAAAUAAUGUCAACACGAUAGGUUGUAAACCUCAACUCGUGUGCUAGUGAUGAUCGAUAAGGUUUAUUUGAUUUGUUCUUGAAACCUUUCAAGACCAUUAAGACUCCCACUGACUCCUUGACAUAUAAGAUUCUCUUGUCAAUAAACAUUUCUUGACAAACAAAUAUUCAAGAGUUAGUGUAGCUUUUAUCAAAACACUUCAUAAAUUGGUCCUAGUUGGUCUUUGUCUUAUCCAAGACAUCACAACUUUCCACAUUUGAUGAAUGUUAUAAACCUUCUUAAUACUUAUCACUCAAUGUCACAAUCUUAACUCUAAGACUUGUUUUGGAACGAAGUAUGAUUGACUUCUUGAUUUAACCAUUUCUUCAAUUCUUGAUUCCUCUUCUUAGACAUACAAUUGUACUAAGACUCACUUAGAGGAUCAAUUGAGAUAUGGUUCUUAAUCAUUAAGACCUAUCAUAAAGCAUAAAAGGUACUCUCCCUUCUUCUUAGAAUGGAGAAACUUUUAUCUUUCUGCCUACUUGAUUCUUCUUAUUCGUUCUGCUAUUGAUUUAAACUUUUUCAAUCAAUUCAGAAUUACACUUAAUCUUGUAAGUAUAAUCAUAUUUACUAAACCUUUAGUAAAUCAUGACGAAUAUCUUUGUUACUCUUAUGGUGGACUUGAUCAACACGCAACUUUGUGUACUCGAUCUCCUAGUCCUUCACUUGACACUUUGUCAAUGAAUUAGUCUAAUUUCCAAAUAUGAAAUUUCUCAUUCAUCGUGCAACCAAGUUGCAUGAUUCCAAGUUUCUGUCCAAUUGAAACUUGGGCGAUGAGAAACUCUCCCUAUUUGGUAAACUCUCGACUUUCCAUAAAUAACAUAAUAAGAACCAAAUCCAUUAUUGCUAAUAAUAGAAACAUUCAAACAUCAAUUUUUCAUAUACGCCAUUGCAAGGAUAAAUAAAUAAUAUAAAAUCAAAAUUUAUUUUAUUGCGGAAAAAAUUUGUCCUUACAAUGCAAUUCAUUGAAAAACUAUGCUAAUACAUCUUUCUUAGCAAUCUAAUUCUAACUCUAAGUAGUAGCUCAAGAAUCUAAUCUUCGAGAAAUGCGAUCGAAAUCCAUUCCUUCACGGUUAGAUUCUGCUCACUUCUUCCCUUAAGCUUCCUUUCUUUUCUUCGAUCCUACAAAACAUCAAUUGUAAUCUUAUCACAUUAUGUAUUAAGAAUCUAGAAUAGAAGCUUAAAAGAGUUAGUUAAUGGAUUUUACCUAUAUUAGAGCCAUACGUUUCGACUCUCCCAUCUCUUAGAUCUCUUAGGUAAAUGGGGCAGCUUCGUCUCCAAUGCCCUUUCUCUUGGCAAUAAAAGCAAAUUGACUCUUUUGGAACAUGACAUGGAACUACUUCAGACAUUGCCUUUCUCUUAUGAUCAAACUUUUCGAUCAUAGCAUGUCUUUCGUUGCCAUUGUCUAUAUCCAUAGAGGUCUUGAAGGCAGAUUCACCAAUCAACUUUGCUUUUCUAUUGCGCCAAACCAUUGCUGAUUCAGCAGCAAUAAGCAUAUAGGUGAGAUCUAUAAGGGUCACGUCGCGGUUCAUCAUAUAGUACUCUCUUACGAACUCACUAUAUGAGUUAGGAAGUGACUGAAGAACCCAAUCAACAGCCAUUUCCUCACAGACAACGGAUCCCAACAUUCUUAACCUAUCAAUGUGUGACUUCAUCCCUAGGACGUGUGCACACACCGACUUUCCUUCUUUAUGUUUACUUGCCAAAAGGGCUUGAGUGAUCUUGAACUUUUCAAGCCUUUGAACUUGUGGGUUAGGGAGAAUAAUUGGAGGAGGAGGAGGAAGUGAAGCAUGAUUUCUUGUUCCUCGAUCGAAUCGUGGAAUAUCAUCUUCAUGUGGAAUGCUUGUUCCACGGGAUUUGGGAAGACCAUAGUUGUCGAACUUUGACAUCUACAAAACGGGAGAAAACGAAUUCAAGUUAGUUGAUUGAUUGAGUCCUUAGUAAAUCACCCAAAUGAGAUACUAAGGCUAGGACCCAACACAAUAUUCUACAACUCGGGAGAGGGAUGCCGUAACCCUAAUUGCAGAAUAUUUGAAGGUAAGUGAAUGACGAUUCACUAAUUUCCACCAUGAAAAACGAAAAAGAAAUUUAAGUUUUAAAUCUAUGAAAACUCCUAGAUCCUUUGAGAUUCAUUGAACUUUCAAUGGCAUGUUUAAAUCUCGAUAUGCCCCUCUUGUUUGUGACUGGGAUGCCGAGGAUCACAAAGCGGGUGUGAAUAACCAUGCAAACUUACAUGGUGCCCUCACAUGUUACAGUCACCUAUUCGAUGUGCCGGUAAACCACACACGCUCCACCGAACUAUGACAAACAUUGAGUCACCCUUUGCUACCUUUGCUUAGAACCAUUUAGUGUGCCGGUAAACCACACACGCUCCACUAACGUCUUCGCAAGGGCACAAAGUGUAAUUUCAUGGAAUUGCAUCAAUUCACUUUUGCCUAAGUAACUAAGAUUGGGAAUUUUAUGAAAACAUUUAGUUACUUUAAUAAUUCAUUAUACUUAUAAUGGAAGGUUUCGUCCUAUCCUACCCGUUCGGCUAACGACCCUCCACUAGUCAAGAGUGCGGUGGGUAAGAGUGGAUACCCAUUCAAUCGCCAUUUUAUAGGCAAUUUCCUUAAACACCCCUUAUAGACCAGCUUCGUGAAUGAGGCCUACUAACGGUAAGACUGACUUUUACUCAUACAUAUAUAUAAUGUUAGACUUUUAAUGUUAUAUAUAGUAUAGGGUGUAUUUUAUACUUUUAAAAUACUAGGUGGUCUAAUUUAACAAUUAUACUUUUAAUUCAAUUAAAUUGUAAACCUAAACUUUUAUGGAUUUAUUAAACCUCUUUUAAUUAUACACCUUAAUUAAUUAAUAAAACCAUAAGGGUGUGAUUUGAACUUUUUCAAAACUAUACUAGAGUUUUAGAAUUUAACAUUCCUAAUUAAACUUUUAAUCAACUUUUAAAUUCCAAAACUUGAGGGCAAGUUUUGAAACAUUUCAACACAUUAGGGUUUAGAAUUUAAAUAUGCAUCAAAAUUAAACUAUUUAAUCAAAAUUUAAAUUCCAAAACUUGAGGGCAAGUUUUGAAACCUUUUUCAAAACAUUAGGGUUUCAACUAUUUAAAUUUCAAAACAACAAAACUUUUGGGGUUCAAAUUUAAACUAUAAAACCUAAAGGGCCAAAUAUGAAACUUUUCACAACAACAAGGAUCAAAUAACAAAUAAUUCAAAUUAACAUUUAAUCACAUAAUUAUCCAUAUUUGAUGAUUUCUUGCAAAAUAAUUUAUCAAUUUACUUAAAAUAAUUAAUCAAUUAUCUUAUAAGGAAACAAUUAUCUUAUUAAUUGAUAAAUAUCUUCAAUUAGAUUAAAAAUAUAGUCAAAUAUAUCAUAUAAUCGGAUUAAUAUUAAUCUAACAUGAUAAGGUAAUUAUCCCAAUGCAAAAACAGCAAGAAAUCCCGAGAUAAGCACUGUCUGACGCACCGACUCGCCGAGUCACCCUCUGGAACUCGCCGAGUAGGGCUGACUCGCCGAGUCCAAGAGUGACUCGCCGAGUCAGGUCGAACAGUGAGGCCAAAACACGAUUUUCAGUUACAUCAAGCAUCAAUACAAUAGAAACCAAUCAUGGCUCUGAUACUAUUGAUGGGUUUUGGUCAUAAGACAUCCUAUGUGCUCAUACAAACCCUAAAGCUUGGAUCUAGGUUUCUCUAUUGUACAUACUUUGAAUCCAAGACUUUGAACCCUAAUUCUAGCAUAUGGAAAUCAGAAUUCACAUGUAAUUAGGUUUAAGAACAUACCUUGAUUGUUAUAUAGCAAUAACAAUCCAAUUCCUCCUUGAAUUGACCUUGGAAAGCUGAGAGUCACAAGUGUCACUCCUCUAAUGGCUUACAAACACCAUAAGCAAGUGGAGAAGGUAUAAACAGAGAGGAGGGAGGUUAGAAUUCGUCUCUAAAACUUAUUGGGAAGGGAUACACGAAUUCAUGACCCUAGGGGUGUUUAUAUAGGUGUAGAGAUAGGGUUUCAGUCAUUAUCCUUAUCUAGUUGCUUAUCCACCAAGCAACCAAUAAGAUAAUCCUUGAAUCCUUAUCAUACUCGAAUUCUAAGGGAUUUACACCUCAAAUUCGUUCACCAUAUAUAUAAGAUAAUCCUUACCUUAUUUUGUAACUAUCACAUAAUUACAAUUCAGCCCCUCUAGUUUAAUUAAUUACACUUGAUCACAAAAUUAAUUCUUAAUUAAUUAUUGACCAAUAUUAAUUAAACAAAUAUGAUUUCUCCUUUAAUAUAUUAUUCUUAACAUAUUAAUAAAUCAUAAUAACCUCUCCCUCUUUAUUUAUUUCUCCAAUCAAGUUGCUUUGGUGAAGGCAACCCAAAAGGACCAUGCACCAUCGGGUCAAGUACAUACCAAAAUAGUUAUGGACUUAGACACUAAUCCAACAUAAAAUGCUAGGAGAUUCGGGCCCCACCCACACUCGACUACUAACAUAUCUCAUAUACAGGCUGGAUUUGUUGCCUUAGACUCGUUCCUACUGAAAGGGAACUCGCCUUGCAAGACUGACUGCUGAAAACUUGAGUGAGGAAUC